Molecule: ribosomal RNA, 253 nt
Filed under: uncultured bacterium
Lineage: Bacteria
Description: partial 16S ribosomal RNA
Rfam family: Bacterial small subunit ribosomal RNA
Source: RNAcentral
UACGAAGGGGGCUAGCGUUGCUCGGAAUCACUGGGCGUAAAGCGCACGUAGGCGGAUUGCUAAGUCAGGGGUGAAAUCCUGGAGCUCAACUCCAGAACUGCCUUUGAUACUGGCGAUCUCGAGUCCGGGAGAGGUGAGUGGAACUGCGAGUGUAGAGGUGAAAUUCGUAGAUAUUCGGAGGAACACCAGUGGCGAAGGCGGCUCACUGGCUCGGUACUGACGCUGAGGUGCGAAAGCGUGGGGAUCAAACAGG